GAUGAACGCUGGCGGCGUGCCUAAUACAUGCAAGUCGAGCGAACAGACGAGGAGCUUGCUCCUUUGACGUUAGCGGCGGACUGGUGAGUAACACGUAGGUAACCUACCUAUAAGACUGGGAUAACUUCGGGAAACCGGAGCUAAUACCGGAUAAUAUUUCGAACCGCAUGGUUCGAUAGUGAAAGAUGGCUUUGCUAUCACUUAUAGAUGGACCUGCGCCGUAUUAGCUAGUUGGUAAGGUAACGGCUUACCAAGGCAACGAUACGUAGCCGACCUGAGAGGGUGAUCGGCCACACUGGAACUGAGACACGGUCCAGACUCCUACGGGAGGCAGCAGUAGGGAAUCUUCCGCAAUGGGCGAAAGCCUGACGGAGCAACGCCGCGUGAGUGAUGAAGGUCUUCGGAUCGUAAAACUCUGUUAUUAGGGAAGAACAAACGUGUAAGUAACUGUGCACGUCUUGACGGUACCUAAUCAGAAAGCCACGGCUAACUACGUG
RNAcentral lists this ribosomal RNA (497 nucleotides) under uncultured bacterium. RNAcentral describes it as "partial 16S ribosomal RNA". It matches the Rfam family "Bacterial small subunit ribosomal RNA", at positions 28 to 507 of the family's 1533-position model. The record is from RNAcentral.